This 85-nucleotide transfer RNA is filed under the name Planctomycetota bacterium. Its description in RNAcentral is "tRNA-Leu". It matches the Rfam family "tRNA". From Rfam's summary of the family: Transfer RNA (tRNA) molecules are approximately 80 nucleotides in length. Their secondary structure includes four short double-helical elements and three loops (D, anti-codon, and T loops). Further hydrogen bonds mediate the characteristic L-shaped molecular structure. tRNAs have two regions of fundamental functional importance: the anti-codon, which is responsible for specific mRNA codon recognition, and the 3' end, to which the tRNAs corresponding amino acid is attached (by aminoacyl-tRNA synthetases). tRNAs cope with the degeneracy of the genetic code in two manners: having more than one tRNA (with a specific anti-codon) for a particular amino acid; and 'wobble' base-pairing, i.e. permitting non-standard base-pairing at the 3rd anti-codon position. RNAcentral also lists the same sequence under 3 other names. The record is from RNAcentral. Lineage: Bacteria; Pseudomonadati; Planctomycetota.
GCCGAAGUGGCGGAAUUGGCAGACGCGCCAGGUUCAGGACCUGGUGGGGGUUAACCCCGUGGAGGUUCAAGUCCUCUCUUCGGCA